Drosophila hydei is the source of this 779-nucleotide long non-coding RNA. RefSeq lists it as uncharacterized. The transcript is spliced from 3 exons. NCBI's taxonomy places the organism in Eukaryota, Metazoa, Arthropoda, Insecta, Diptera, Drosophilidae. The record is from RefSeq and is a predicted model, not a curated record.
AAAUUGUGUGGUUAUUGCUACAGGAUAUCACAUAGUCGUUCUGGCUUGUCCAGUAACGUCAUCCUUUUUGUUCCAUUGAUAUUUGCUUGUUGGCAAAUUUUUCACAGAGUAACGCGCAGCUGGUGCCGUUGCUGCUGCAAGGAUGCGAGUGUGGGAACUAAAUCUUCAACUGGCAAAAAUCAAUCGUAGUUGGCGCAAAGGUUUGGCCAUUGAAAUAUACAUAUGUGUGCUGCACAUACCACAAGGCAGAGCAGCUACUCCAGAGCAUUGGCUUUGCGUAAUGCAAAAGCCACAACAAGAAGCAAGAGCCACUUGCCGAUUGCCAAAGCAAGUCUUGAAUGAAUUUACAAAAGGCCUCAAGAGGAGCAGCAGCAGCAGCAGCAGCAGCAGCAGCCAGGCCACAGAGCUGGAAAGUGCGACAAGUGCUGCAGUCUUUGGCAGUGGAUGCACUUGAGAGACAAGUCACAGCUUGGCAGUCAACAUGCGAACCUUCACACACACUGGCAGAGAUUAAGUGGAAAGAUGGCCCAGUGGCCGGCGAAUGGAUCCAAAAUGUUUGUACGGCCCAAUGCAGCUGGUGGGCAAACAAAUACGCGUAGUGGCAACCAAAGUGGAUGCCAAAUAACCAUAAUGGUGUUUAUCCACAAGUUCAUUUCGCUGUUUAAACAUGCCUCCGAAUUUACCGACACAAUAAACAACGGCCAACGCAUUGGCCCAAACGGAGGCGCCCAGUGCCAUUACGUUUCGUUUUUAUGCUCGCUUAUGAAAUGCCAAUGGAG